GACGAACGCUGGCGGCGUGCUUAACACAUGCAAGUCGAACGGAAAGGCCCUGCUUUUGUGGGGUGCUCGAGUGGCGAACGGGUGAGUAACACGUGAGUAACCUGCCCUUGACUUUGGGAUAACUUCAGGAAACUGGGGCUAAUACCGGAUAGGAGCUCCUGCUGCAUGGUGGGGGUUGGAAAGUUUCGGCGGUGGGGGAUGGACUCGCGGUUUAUCAGCUUGUUGGUGGGGUAGUGGCUUACCAAGGCUUUGACGGGUAGCCGGCCUGAGAGGGUGACCGGCCACAUUGGGACUGAGAUACGGCCCAGACUCCUACGGGAGGCAGCAGUGGGGAAUAUUGCACAAUGGGCGGAAGCCUGAUGCAGCAACGCCGCGUGCGGGAUGACGGCCUUCGGGUUGUAAACCGCUUUCGCCUGUGACGAAGCGUGAGUGACGGUAAUGGGUAAAGAAGCACCGGCUAACUACGUG
RNAcentral lists this ribosomal RNA (468 nucleotides) under uncultured bacterium. Its description in RNAcentral is "partial 16S ribosomal RNA". It matches the Rfam family "Bacterial small subunit ribosomal RNA", at positions 28 to 507 of the family's 1533-position model. The record is from RNAcentral.